GGUUAAGCGACUAAGCGUACACGGUGGAUGCCCUGGCAGUCAGAGGCGAUGAAGGACGUGCUAAUCUGCGAAAAGCGUCGGUAAGGUGAUAUGAACCGUUACAGCCGGCGAUGUCCGAAUGGGGAAACCCAGUGUGAUUCGUCACACUAUCGUUAACUGAAUACAUAGGUUAACGAGGCGAACCGGGGGAACUGAAACAUCUAAGUACCCCGAGGAAAAGAAAUCAACCGAGAUUCCCCCAGUAGCGGCGAGCGAACGGGGAGCAGCCCAGAGUCUGAAUCAGCUUGUGUGUUAGUGGAACGGUCUGGAAAGUCCGACGGUACAGGGUGAUAGUCCCGUACACCAAAAUGCACAGGCUGUGAACUCGAAGAGUAGGGCGGGACACGUGGUAUCCUGUCUGAAUAUGGGGGGACCAUCCUCCAAGGCUAAAUACUCCUGACUGACCGAUAGUGAACCAGUACCGUGAGGGAAAGGCGAAAAGAACCCCGGCGAGGGGAGUGAAAAAGAACCUGAAACCGUGUACGUACAAGCAGUGGGAGCACCUUCGGGUGUGACUGCGUACCUUUUGUAUAAUGGGUCAGCGACUUAUAUUCUGUAGCAAGGUUAACCGUAUAGGGGAGCCGCAGGGAAACCGAGUCUUAACUGGGCGUUAAGUUGCAGGGUAUAGACCCGAAACCCGGUGAUCUAGCCAUGGGCAGGUUGAAGGUUGGGUAACACUAACUGGAGGACCGAACCGACUAAUGUUGAAAAAUUAGCGGAUGACUUGUGGCUGGGGGUGAAAGGCCAAUCAAACCGGGAGAUAGCUGGUUCUCCCCGAAAGCUAUUUAGGUAGCGCCUCGUGAAUUCAUCUUCGGGGGUAGAGCACUGUUUCGGCUAGGGGGUCAUCCCGACUUACCAACCCGAUGCAAACUACGAAUACCGAAGAAUGUUAUCACGGGAGACACACGGCGGGUGCUAACGUCCGUCGUGAAGAGGGAAACAACCCAGACCGCCAGCUAAGGUCCCAAAGUCAUGGUUAAGUGGGAAACGAUGUGGGAAGGCACAGACAGCCAGGAUGUUGGCUUAGAAGCAGCCAUCAUUUAAAGAAAGCGUAAUAGCUCACUGGUCGAGUCGGCCUGCGCGGAAGAUGUAACGGGGCUAAACCAUGCACCGAAGCUGCGGCAGCGACACUAUGUGUUGUUGGGUAGGGGAGCGUUCUGUAAGCCUGCGAAGGUG
This 1215-nucleotide ribosomal RNA is filed under the name Klebsiella pneumoniae. RNAcentral's name for it is "partial 23S ribosomal RNA". It matches the Rfam family "Bacterial large subunit ribosomal RNA", at positions 1 to 1258 of the family's 2925-position model. The record is from RNAcentral. Lineage: Bacteria; Pseudomonadati; Pseudomonadota; Gammaproteobacteria; Enterobacterales; Enterobacteriaceae.